Molecule: ribosomal RNA, 506 nt
Filed under: fungal endophyte
Lineage: Eukaryota; Fungi
Description: eukaryotic LSU rRNA
Rfam family: 5.8S ribosomal RNA (bases 189-342)
Source: RNAcentral
AGCGGAGGGAUCAUUACUGAGUUUACGCUCUAUAACCCUUUGUGAACAUACCUAUAACUGUUGCUUCGGCGGGUAGGGUCUCCGCGACCCUCCCGGCCUCCCGCCUCCGGGCGGGUCGGCGCCCGCCGGAGGAUAACCAAACUCUGAUUUAACGACGUUUCUUCUGAGUGGUACAAGCAAAUAAUCAAAACUUUUAACAACGGAUCUCUUGGUUCUGGCAUCGAUGAAGAACGCAGCGAAAUGCGAUAAGUAAUGUGAAUUGCAGAAUUCAGUGAAUCAUCGAAUCUUUGAACGCACAUUGCGCCCGCCAGCAUUCUGGCGGGCAUGCCUGUUCGAGCGUCAUUUCAACCCUCAAGCUCUGCUUGGUGUUGGGGCCCUACAGCUGAUGUAGGCCCUCAAAGGUAGUGGCGGACCCUCCCGGAGCCUCCUUUGCGUAGUAACUUUACGUCUCGCACUGGGAUCCGGAGGGACUCUUGCCGUAAAACCCCCCAAUUUUCCAAAGGUGA